RNAcentral lists this unclassified non-coding RNA (203 nucleotides) under Hevea brasiliensis (rubber tree). The record is from RNAcentral. Lineage: Eukaryota; Viridiplantae; Streptophyta; Magnoliopsida; Malpighiales; Euphorbiaceae.
ACUAUCUGAUAACAAAGAAAAAGGUAAUAUUCACCCAGGGACACUUUUAAGUUUGCAUCCUUACAAAUGAGUUCAGUUGUAUGUUGAUUUGAAAAUUGCUUAUUUUGAAAACUUUUGAGAACCUUACUUGGACCUUCAAGUCUGCUACUCCUAACACCUUCAGUCUUUAGAUUCUGUGUCUAUGUAAUUAUCCUUCAAUCUUA